Molecule: transfer RNA, 72 nt
Filed under: Calditrichota bacterium
Lineage: Bacteria; Pseudomonadati; Calditrichota
Description: Calditrichaeota bacterium tRNA-Gly
Rfam family: tRNA
About the family: Transfer RNA (tRNA) molecules are approximately 80 nucleotides in length. Their secondary structure includes four short double-helical elements and three loops (D, anti-codon, and T loops). Further hydrogen bonds mediate the characteristic L-shaped molecular structure. tRNAs have two regions of fundamental functional importance: the anti-codon, which is responsible for specific mRNA codon recognition, and the 3' end, to which the tRNAs corresponding amino acid is attached (by aminoacyl-tRNA synthetases). tRNAs cope with the degeneracy of the genetic code in two manners: having more than one tRNA (with a specific anti-codon) for a particular amino acid; and 'wobble' base-pairing, i.e. permitting non-standard base-pairing at the 3rd anti-codon position.
Source: RNAcentral
GCGAGAGUAGUUCAGUGGUAGAACAUCACCUUGCCAAGGUGGGGGUCGCGAGUUCGAAUCUCGUCUCUCGCU